GAUGAACGCUAGCGGGAGGCCUAACACAUGCAAGCCGAGCGGUAUUGUCUCUUCGGAAAUGAGAGAGCGGCGUACGGGUGCGGAACACGUGUGCAACCUGCCUUUAUCUGGGGGAUAGCCUUUCGAAAGGAAGAUUAAUACUCCAUAAUAUAUUGAACGGCAUCGUUUAAUAUUGAAAGCUCCGGCGGAUAGAGAUGGGCACGCGCAAGAUUAGCUAGUUGGUGAGGUAACGGCUCACCAAGGCGAUGAUCUUUAGGGGGCCUGAGAGGGGGGUCCCCCACACUGGUACUGGGACACGGACCAGACUCCUACGGGAGGCAGCAGUGAGGAAUAUUGGUCAAUGGGUGCAAGCCUGAACCAGCCAUCCCGCGUGAAGGACGACUGCCCUAUGGGUUGUAAACUUCUUUUGUAUAGGGAUAAACCUACCCUCGAGAGGGUAGCUGAAGGUACUACACGAAUAAGCACCGGCUAACUCCGUGCCAGCAGCCGCGGUAA
RNAcentral lists this ribosomal RNA (495 nucleotides) under uncultured bacterium. RNAcentral's name for it is "partial 16S ribosomal RNA". It matches the Rfam family "Bacterial small subunit ribosomal RNA", at positions 28 to 523 of the family's 1533-position model. The record is from RNAcentral.